AGAGAGAGAGAGACAGAAAGUAGAGAGAGAGAAAGUAGAGAGAGCGAGAGAGAUGUGCUGAGGCAAUGGGCCGCACAUAGCGGGAGGAGAAAGCCUGAUCCCAGCAAGGGGCAGGGGGGCGGAGGCGGAGGUGGAGGGAGUGUGCACUGCCCGACCUCCACCUCUCAGUGCGGCUGCCACUGAGCGAGCAGGGGAGGCUGACAUUUCUCUCUCCCCUCUGCACUUCCUCUCAGCAGGUGCUCCUUGGAUCGACGGGGGCGAAAUGCAAAGCCCGAGACUGCAGCGCAGACUUUAUGGGAACUCCCUGUGUUGUGUUCCCAUUUUAUGCUCGGCAAGGGCACAAUCUUUAGCCCAAAGAUGACUAGUGCCAUCACACUCAUCUCUCUCUCUUUGUUCUGUUUGAUUUACUCACAUAUCUCUUUGUCACUGUGCCUACUCUCAAGAUGUUACCAAGAUGUUCCACCUGCUGUGUCAUGACAAUGUUAAUGCUUUUGUGAAAGCUUCUGUGCAGAAGAUUCUGUGUGUGCAGUCUUAGUUUAUCGCCAGAGUUAAAAUAGUUUCAAAUAAUUUCAAAUUCAACAUAUAUUAAUAGUGAAAUGGGCAUGUCGGAGCACAUGAAUUACGCCACUAAGUCCAGAAACUGAAGACACAGAUUCUCAAUUAAGAAAUGAAAGGAAGAAAAAAAAAGAAAAAAAAUACAUCGACUUGAAAGGCAAACACAUUCAGUCAUCAUCAUGUUCCUUCGCAGACAAAUGCAAAUCAGCCCAGCAGCAGCAGCAUCUCAUCUGUGGCAGGCAGUCCUUUCAUGGUUUGUGGCUGCAACAUGGACCUCAGCUCCCUUUUUUAAAGAGGCAGCGAGGCGAGGCGAGGGGCGAGGCGUGAGAUGGGCAUCGAGGGCGUGGAGGGGAGGCCAGAGCAGCAGAGCAGCUUCUCCCCGCACUCCACUCAGCGUAGCCUCCUCCACCGCCGCCACCGCUGCUGCUGCCGUUUCAUCUGAUUGAUCAAGCACGUUGCUCCACUUCACAUGCGACCGGGGGGGAGUGCUCCAACUGCAGGGAUCUCACGCACACACCUGCUGACCUUCACUACCUCUGGAUCUAUCAUCUAUCAUACGCCACUGAGGGGGCUCAUCCUGUCAGCGCUGUGACGAGACCAGAGACGGGCGAGAGCAAACGUUUGGCCUACUUGUAAUCACAGAGAGAGAGAGAAAAAAAAAACAAACAGGGAAGGAGCUCAGCUUCCCUUCCCCACUUUUGGGGGCUCUUAGGCAGCAGGUACUAGAUAGAUGCGAUGUUUGCCAGCGAGUAAUUGCACGAUCAAAACUGGAGAGGAAGCGGAGUGCGAGACGCUGAACACACUCUCUGAUGUCGAAUGUACUUAUCUAGCCGACGCUACGCCGCCACUCUGCCUGGUGGUGCCAGGAGGUUCUUGUUUGCCUAACCGUUCUCUAUUAGCGUGACAGUGGCUGCCGGGGGGGAGAUGGCUUUCACCUUGAGGAUGCAGUAGGGGGGUUUUGCAUCAGAAGCGAAAGAUAAACUGUAGUGUGUUUCAAUGUGCCUUAACAUGUGUGUGUAUGGAGGUGGGUGAGUUGGGGGGGGGGGGGGGGGGGGGGGGGGCAUGAGAGGGAUGCUGAGGCCUCUUCGCCUCGGCUCCCUGGAUGCCCCUCGUCCCCGUUAAUCUUGCAAAAAUCAUUGUCCUCAGCUUGAAGGGUUUUGUUUGCUUACCUAUAGUGUGUAAUAAUAGCCAGAGACUCCUGUGAAUAUUAUUUACUCAUAUGCUCAUUAUUCAUCCCUGCUUUCACUGUGGGGAGCAAAUUUACAAG
Long non-coding RNA from Clupea harengus (Atlantic herring), 1822 nucleotides. The record is from Ensembl. Lineage: Eukaryota; Metazoa; Chordata; Actinopteri; Clupeiformes; Clupeidae.